UGUCACUCUCUCUCUCACUCUGGCUGAGUCUCCAUCUGGAGCUUGGAACCCGCCAUGCUUACUAAUUAUGCCUGGGCUUCUAAGAUCCGACCGGGGAGGCCUCAGUGUCUCCUCUCCUUCGGGAGAACAGAAGGAUGCCUGCGGCCUACAACUGCUUUUGAGCUGUGGUGUUGGAGAAAACUCUUGAGAGUCCCUUGGACUGCAAGGAGAACAAACCUUUUAAUCCUAAAGGAAAUCAAUCCUGAAUAUUCAUUGGAAGGACUAAUGCUGAAGCUGAAGCUCCAAUACUUUGGCCACCUG
Bos taurus (domestic cattle) is the source of this 300-nucleotide long non-coding RNA. The record is from Ensembl. NCBI's taxonomy places the organism in Eukaryota, Metazoa, Chordata, Mammalia, Artiodactyla, Bovidae.